CAGCAAAUUGGAACAAUACAGAGAUUAACAUGGCUGCUGUGCAAGGAUGACACACAAAUUCGUGAAGCAUUCCAUAUUUAA
RNAcentral lists this small nuclear RNA (81 nucleotides) under Chinchilla lanigera (long-tailed chinchilla). The record is from RNAcentral. Lineage: Eukaryota; Metazoa; Chordata; Mammalia; Rodentia; Chinchillidae.